Long non-coding RNA from Ananas comosus (pineapple), 1158 nucleotides. RefSeq lists it as uncharacterized. The record is from RefSeq and is a predicted model, not a curated record. The transcript has 2 exons. NCBI's taxonomy places the organism in Eukaryota, Viridiplantae, Streptophyta, Magnoliopsida, Poales, Bromeliaceae.
CGGCACCUGACCGGGAGUUCUUUUAACCUCGCUCUCUCUCUCCCUCUUUCUCUCCCCUCUCCGCCACCAACCCCGGCCGCCCGGGAGUACCGUACCAGAGUUUCAGUUCUCAUAAUGCAGUUUCCAGGAACCUCGUCGGAUCAUGGACAGCUUGUGGGACGAUAACUGGAUAAUGGCCUUUCGCGAAAAACGAUGGUUAUUAGUUCUUUUGUUGGUUCAUUUCAUUUGCUCACUGGAUUCUAAUUCUGAAAAUAUGCAAAACGGAUUUGGCGGACGGGCAAUAUAUUUGUUACGUGGGUUGCAUUCUCUCAAAUGAAAAGCAAAAAGAAUCAAGGUAUGACUAGGAACUUGAUUAUCAGUUCUUGUUCAAACACUGGGUGUUCUCGAAAUUUAGGUCCCAGUUACAGAAUGACAAGGCUGUUCAAAACAUCUUAUAUAAGCUGGAAUCUGGUCGUCGUUGUUGUCGAAAUGCUCGUUGCUAUCGAAUUCUGAGUAAUAUAUUCAAAAUACUAGGGUCGUUCACCCCUAAUAAACAUGACUAAUCAACUAGAGCUUUCCCAACUUCCGAAAGAAUUUGAGAAUAUAUGUAUGACAAUUAGGAAUUCUUUUGGGUGGCCAGAAGUAAUAACCGUCCUGAUGUAGUAUCUUUGUUUUUGCAUAGAUGUUUCUAGACGUUUUGAGGAAACAUUAUCAAGCGUAAGUUUUACAACUUUAGACAUUAUAAGAAAAAAUUAUCGAAUAUAAGUUUUAGAACUCAUUAGUAAUGCUUAUUAUCAAGUACUUAAAGGUAAUCUUCAAUUGAGCCAUUCCUUUAUUACAUGGACAACUUCAGUAUUAUGUCGCAUUACUACACCAUGUUUGAGAUCGAUUUUUAACAGCAACCUAUCACCUGUCUGCUACUUUUUUGCAACCUUAGAAACUGUUUGUAUUUUCUUUUAUAACACCUGUGAUGUGAACUAUUGAAACCUUUGAGUGGCAGUCAGGGAUUUUUUCUGAUCUUUCCUUUUAUUCUAGCUGCAUCGGAUAUUGCUCUAAAUACAUAUCUUGUAUUUUGAAGUGUUAUGCAUGUAAGGUACUUAUGUUUAGUAUCAAUUUCCCUGUGCCAGCUACAAAAAGGAUUAAGACAAAGUUUGAUGUUUAAGUUCAAGUGUUUCUUUA